UUUUUUAAAAAUAAAAUUAUUAAUUUUAUUUGAUUUAUUUAAAAUUUUUUAAUUUAAAUAAAAUUAUUUAAAUUUGUUUAAGUAUAUUUUAUAGGAAAAAUUUUUUGAAUUAUAGUUUAUUAAUAUUGUAAGAGAAUUUUGAAAUAUUAUGAAAUUUAUUUAGUUGAAAGUAAUAUUUAAUUUAUGUACCUUGUGUAUCAGGGUUUAUUAAAAUUAUUUCAUUUAAAUUUGAAUUUUUCUAAUUUAAAAGAUCUAAAUAUUUAUGAUUUUUAUUGUGUCAUUAAUAUCUUAAAUUUAUAUUUAGUAAUGAAAUGUUAUUCGUUUUUAAAGUUAUUUAAUUUUUUAAUAAAUAAAUUUAAUUUAAAUAUUAAUUUUUAAAUUAAUAAUUUUUUAUUAUUAUUUUUAUUUAAUAUUUAUAUUUUAAGGGAUAAGCUUUAGAAUAAAUUAUUAUAAUAUUUUAAUGGUUUAAUAAUUAUUUGUGUUUAAUAUUUUAUAGUCUUAAAAAUAGAUUUUAUAUAAAAAUGUUUUAAUUUAUUAUUAAUUUUGUAAGAUUUAUUUAUUUAUUUAAUUUUUUAUUAAAAUUUUUAAUUUAAUAAUUAUAUUUAAUUAAAAAUGAUAAAAUUAGUAUAUUAUAUUAUUUAUUUAAUUAUAAAAUAAUUUUUAGGUUAAAUUAAGGAAUUCGGCAAAAUUUUUAUAUUUGCUUGUUUAACAAAAACAUCGUUUUUUGAAUAUAAUUUAAAAUUUAAUCUGCUCAAUGAAUUUAUUAAUUUAAAUAGCCGCAGUAUUUUGACUGUGCAAAGGUAGCAUAAUAAUUAGUCUUUUAAUUGAAGGCUGGAAUGAAAGAUUUGACAAGAUAUAAACUGUCUUAAUUUAAAUUUAAAUUGAAUUUAAUUUUUAAGUUAAAAAGCUUAAAUUUUUUUAAAGGACGAGAAGACCCUAUAGAGUUUUAUAUUUUUUUUUUAUUUAAUAAUUUAAAAUUUAUUUUAAAUAAAAAAAAAUAUUUUGUUGGGGUGAUAGAGAAAUUUAAUAAACUUUUUUAUAAAUUUUACAUUUAUUAAUGAAUUUUUGAUCCUAUUUUUUGGAUUAAUAGAUUAAGUUACCUUAGGGAUAACAGCGUAAUUUUUUUUAGAGUUCUUAUCGAUUUAAGAGAUUGCGACCUCGAUGUUGGAUUAAAAUUUAAUUUAGGUGAAGAAGCUUAAAAUUUAGGUCUGUUCGACCUUUAAAAUUUUACAUGAUCUGAGUUCAAACCGGUGUAAGCCAGGUUGGAUUCUAUCCUUAAAAUAUAUUAAGUUUUUAGUACGAAAGGAAUUAAAUUUAGAUUUGUAAUUUUUAUAAAUGAUUAAAAUUAAUAUUUAAA
This 1357-nucleotide ribosomal RNA is filed under the name Trichiosoma vitellina. RNAcentral describes it as "16S ribosomal RNA". The stretch from base 1107 to 1264 matches the Rfam family "Archaeal large subunit ribosomal RNA", at positions 2542 to 2701 of the family's 2987-position model. Lineage: Eukaryota; Metazoa; Arthropoda; Insecta; Hymenoptera; Cimbicidae. The record is from RNAcentral.